AACGUAGGAGACAAACGUUAUCCGGAGUUACUGGGCGUAAAGGGCGUGUAGGCGGUCUGUUAAGUUCUGGCGUGAAAGCUCCGUCGGCUAAACCGGGGAGAGGUCGGUUGAUACUGGCAGACUAGAGGACGGUAGAGGCGUGUGGAAUUCCGGGUGUAGUGGUGAAAUGCGUAGAGAUCCGGAGGAACACCAGUGGCGAAGGCGACACG
Molecule: ribosomal RNA, 209 nt
Filed under: uncultured bacterium
Lineage: Bacteria
Description: partial 16S ribosomal RNA
Rfam family: Bacterial small subunit ribosomal RNA
Source: RNAcentral